RNAcentral lists this ribosomal RNA (491 nucleotides) under uncultured bacterium. Its description in RNAcentral is "partial 16S ribosomal RNA". It matches the Rfam family "Bacterial small subunit ribosomal RNA", at positions 29 to 506 of the family's 1533-position model. The record is from RNAcentral.
AGUGAACGCUGGCGGUAGGCCUAACACAUGCAAGUCGAACGGCAGCACAGUAAGAGCUUGCUCUUACGGGUGGCGAGUGGCGGACGGGUGAGGAAUACAUCGGAAUCUACUUUUUCGUGGGGGAUAACGUAGGGAAACUUACGCUAAUACCGCAUACGACCUACGGGUGAAAGCAGGGGAUCUUCGGACCUUGCGCGAUUGAAUGAGCCGAUGUCGGAUUAGCUAGUUGGCGGGGUAAAGGCCCACCAAGGCGACGAUCCGUAGCUGGUCUGAGAGGAUGAUCGGCACCACUGGAACUGAGACACGGUCCAGACUCCUACGGGAGGCAGCAGUGGGAAAUAUUGGACAAUGGGCGCAAGCCUGAUCCAGCCAUACCGCGUGGGUGAAGAAGGCCUUCGGGUUGUAAAGCCCUUUUGUUGGGAAAGAAAAGCAGCAGGUUAAUACCCCGCUGUUCUGACGGUACCCAAAGAAUAAGCACCGGCUAACUUCGU